GACGAACGCUGGCGGCGUGCUUAACACAUGCAAGUCGAACGGAAAGGCCCGCAUCAUUUUUGUGGUGGGGGUGCUCGAGUGGCGAACGGGUGAGUAACACGUGGGUGAUCUGCCCUGUACUUCGGGAUAAGCUUGGGAAACUGGGUCUAAUACCGGAUAGGACCAUGGUUUAGUGUCUCAUGGUGGAAAAAUUAUUGUUUUGGUGCAGGAUGAGCUCGCGGCCUAUCAGCUUGUUGGUGGGGUAAUGGCCUACCAAGGCGUCGACGGGUAGCCGGCCUGAGAGGGUGGACGGCCACAUUGGGACUGAGAUACGGCCCAGACUCCUACGGGAGGCAGCAGUGGGGAAUAUUGCACAAUGGGCGCAAGCCUGAUGCAGCGACGCCGCGUGGGGGAUGACGGCCUUCGGGUUGUAAACUCCUUUCGUUAGGGACGAAGCCACACCUUUUUU
This 448-nucleotide ribosomal RNA is filed under the name Corynebacterium matruchotii. RNAcentral describes it as "bacterial SSU rRNA". It matches the Rfam family "Bacterial small subunit ribosomal RNA", at positions 28 to 463 of the family's 1533-position model. Lineage: Bacteria; Bacillati; Actinomycetota; Actinomycetes; Mycobacteriales; Corynebacteriaceae. The record is from RNAcentral.